This 756-nucleotide ribosomal RNA is filed under the name uncultured bacterium. RNAcentral's name for it is "bacterial SSU rRNA". It matches the Rfam family "Bacterial small subunit ribosomal RNA", at positions 8 to 796 of the family's 1533-position model. The record is from RNAcentral.
AGAGUUUGAUCAUGGCUCAGAAUCAACGCUGGCGGCGUGCCUAACACAUGCAAGUCGAACGAGAAAGUGGAGCAAUCCAUGAGUAAAGUGGCGCACGGGUGAGUAACACGUGACUAACCUACCCUUGAGUGGGGGAUAACUGAGGGAAACCUUAGCUAAUACCGCAUAAUACCUACGGGUCAAAGGAGCAAUUCGCUCGAGGAGGGGGUCGCGGCCGAUUAGUUAGUUGGCGGGGUAACGGCCCACCAAGACGAUGAUCGGUAUCCGGCCUGAGAGGGCGCACGGACACACUGGAACUGAAACACGGUCCAGACUCCUACGGGAGGCAGCAGUGGGGAAUUUUGCGCAAUGGGGGAAACCCUGACGCAGCAACGCCGCGUGGAGGAUGAAGUCCUUCGGGACGUAAACUCCUUUCGAUCGGGACGAUUAUGACGGUACCGGAAGAAGAAGCCCCGGCUAACUUCGUGCCAGCAGCCGCGGUAAUACGAGGGGGGCGAGCGUUGUUCGGAAUUAUUGGGCGUAAAGGGUGCGUAGGCGGUUUGGUAAGUCUUGUGUGAAAUCUACAGGCUCAACUUGUAGUCUGCACGAGAAACUGCCGGGCUUGAGUAUGGGAGAGGUGAGUGGAAUUCCUGGUGUAGCGGUGAAAUGCGUAGAUAUCAGGAGGAACACCUGUGGCGAAAGCGGCUCACUGGACCAUAACUGACGCUGAUGCACGAAAGCUAGGGGAGCAAACAGGAUUAGAUACCCUAGUAGUCC